GACGAACGCUGGCGGCGUGCUUAACACAUGCAAGUCGAACGGAAAGGCCUCUUUCGGGGGGUACUCGAGUGGCGAACGGGUGAGUAACACGUGAGUAACCUGCCCUUGACUUUGGGAUAACUUCAGGAAACUGGGGCUAAUACCGGAUAGGAGCUCCUGCUGCAUGGUGGGGGUUGGAAAGUUUCGGCGGUUGGGGAUGGACUCGCGGCUUAUCUGCUUGUUGGUGGGGUAGUGGCUUACCAAGGCUUUGACGGGUAGCCGGCCUGAGAGGGUGACCGGCCACAUUGGGACUGAGAUACGGCCCAGACUCCUACGGGAGGCAGCAGUGGGGAAUAUUGCACAAUGGGUGGAAGCCUGAUGCAGCAACGCCGUGUGCGGGAUGACGGCCUUCGGGUUGUAAACCGCUUUCGCUCAUGACGAAGCUUUGUGUGACGGUAGUGGGUAAAGAAGCACCGGCUAACUACGUG
This 467-nucleotide ribosomal RNA is filed under the name uncultured bacterium. RNAcentral describes it as "partial 16S ribosomal RNA". It matches the Rfam family "Bacterial small subunit ribosomal RNA", at positions 28 to 507 of the family's 1533-position model. The record is from RNAcentral.